AUGGUCAAGGAGAUCAUACUUGACCUGUUCCGUGAGUUCUCUAGGGGAACAUUAGACGUAUCCCGGCUUAACUACGGGAUCAUCUCCCUGAUCCCCAAGGUGCCGGGAGCCGCUGACAUCAGGCAAUUCCGUCCUAUCACAGUCCUCAAUGUGAUAUUUCGGAUUUUGGCAAAGGGGUACGCCACUAGGGCGGCCCUAAUUGCCCCUGGAUCCACCCCCCGAAAUUCGGCCUUCACGAAAGGCAGGUAUAUCCUGGAUGGGAUCCUCGUUCUCCCCGAGGUCAUCCACGAGGUCAAGAGCAAGCACCUUCGUGUUGUAUUCUUCAAGAUUGACUUCCAUAAAGCAUACGACACCGUCCACUGGUCCUUCCUUCGGGAGGUGAUGUUCAAGCGUGUACGAUGGUGA
RNAcentral lists this ribosomal RNA (405 nucleotides) under Triticum aestivum (bread wheat). RNAcentral describes it as "partial small subunit ribosomal RNA". The record is from RNAcentral. Lineage: Eukaryota; Viridiplantae; Streptophyta; Magnoliopsida; Poales; Poaceae.